Molecule: long non-coding RNA, 370 nt
Filed under: Lathyrus oleraceus (garden pea)
Lineage: Eukaryota; Viridiplantae; Streptophyta; Magnoliopsida; Fabales; Fabaceae
Description: Pisum sativum (pea) long non-coding RNA (PSAT_LNC003209)
Source: RNAcentral
UGGAGUUCGAUAGAAUUCGUGGGAUUGUGAGAGACGGAGACGGAAGUGUCUUCUGUUUUGGUUUUCUUUUUUUCUUUUCUUUAAUUUAUUUUUAUACAGAAUAAGUUUUGAAAAAAACAUUAAAGAUUUGGUUAAACUUCCUAAGUAGUUAAUAAGUAUUUACACCUUUUCAAUUCAUAUUCCCAUUGAAAAACCCAACAGCCAGGCGGCUGGGUUUCUUUGGUAAUCCAACAGACCCUUGCUAUUUGUUUUUUUAGUUUCUUUUUUUCAUUUUUUGUUCCAAUCUAGUAGGGUUUAUAUAUUUAGGUUGUUAUUUAAAUGAUAACUAAUUAUAAGUGGUUUGGUGGAGAAGGGUAGUAUCAUAGUCUUG